RNAcentral lists this ribosomal RNA (465 nucleotides) under uncultured bacterium. RNAcentral describes it as "partial 16S ribosomal RNA". It matches the Rfam family "Bacterial small subunit ribosomal RNA", at positions 28 to 507 of the family's 1533-position model. The record is from RNAcentral.
GACGAACGCUGGCGGCGUGCUUAACACAUGCAAGUCGAACGGAAAGGCCCUGCUUGCAGGGUACUCGAGUGGCGAACGGGUGAGUAACACGUGGGUAAUCUGCCCUGCACUUCGGGAUAAGCUUGGGAAACUGGGUCUAAUACCGGAUAGGACCGCACUUUAGUGUGUGUGGUGGAAAGUUUUUUCGGUGUAGGAUGAGCUCGCGGCCUAUCAGCUUGUUGGUGGGGUAAUGGCCUACCAAGGCGGCGACGGGUAGCCGGCCUGAGAGGGUGUACGGCCACAUUGGGACUGAGAUACGGCCCAGACUCCUACGGGAGGCAGCAGUGGGGAAUAUUGCACAAUGGGCGCAAGCCUGAUGCAGCGACGCCGCGUGGGGGAUGAAGGCCUUCGGGUUGUAAACUCCUUUCGCUAGGGACGAAGCUUUUUGUGACGGUACCUAGAUAAGAAGCACCGGCUAACUACGUG